This 465-nucleotide ribosomal RNA is filed under the name uncultured bacterium. RNAcentral's name for it is "partial 16S ribosomal RNA". It matches the Rfam family "Bacterial small subunit ribosomal RNA", at positions 28 to 507 of the family's 1533-position model. The record is from RNAcentral.
GACGAACGCUGGCGGCGUGCUUAACACAUGCAAGUCGAACGGAAAGGCCCCUUUGGGGGUACUCGAGUGGCGAACGGGUGAGUAACACGUGAGUAACCUGCCCUUGACUUCGGGAUAACUUCAGGAAACUGGGGCUAAUACCGGAUAGGAAUCCUUGCUGCAUGGUGGGGGUUGGAAAGCUUCGGCGGUUUUGGAUGGACUCGCGGCUUAUCAGCUUGUUGGUGGGGUAGUGGCUUACCAAGGCUUUGACGGGUAGCCGGCCUGAGAGGGCGACCGGCCACAUUGGGACUGAGAUACGGCCCAGACUCCCACGGGAGGCAGCAGUGGGGAAUAUUGCACAAUGGGCGGAAGCCUGAUGCAGCAACGCCGCGUGCGGGAUGACGGCCUUCGGGUUGUAAACCGCUUUCAGCAGGGGCGAAGCUUGUGGUGACGGUACCUGCAGAAGAAGCACCGGCUAACUACGUG